UCUUCUGCUGCUCCUGCUCCACAGCACGCUUCCGUCUUUCAACCAGAAAUCAUCUGCAGGGCAAGCCAGGAGUCCCAGGAGUAGGUAAAUGGCCUCCAGCAGCGGUGCAGCGCCUGGAGCAGGCUCUCCCAGGGCAGGGAGUCCAUGGGCACUGGGUGAGAGCUCCACAGGGAUGGCUGCUCGGUCAGCCCCAGUGGAGAGCAGCUGUGAGCCCGAGGCUGAGCUAUUCCUGAGCCUCCCUCAAGGCAGAACUUGCUCAUGCAGAAGGGUGUGUGCCUGUAGCCCACCCUUCUCCCUGGACCACGUAGCCUUGCCGAUGGAAAUUUUGGAUUGAGGGGAGACACAAGCGGGGUGCAAAUUUGUGGAGCCUCUCUUCAGCAUCGCUCAGAGCUUCGCAUCAACUCCAGUGCUCACACACACCCCAGCAGGGAUUUGCUGUCAUCCAAGGGGAUCUGCUUUCAUUACUUCACUCUAAGGUGAAUACCUUGUGAAAUGGUUACAGCCAAGGGUAUCAAACAGCUGCUCGAGCCCUUCAGAAGGUGUGCUACCGUGCUGAAAGUGAAAACUGCUCCCCUUCAGCAGCAAAUGGCAAGUAUAUCAAACAAGAAAAUCUAUGAAAUGUAUCAAAUGCUGAUGUCAUGAGGGGUAUAUAAUUUGUCCUCAAAAUUAAGGUCAUGGGGUUCUCUUGCUAGGCACCAUCCCAGUGGAAUGAUAAACGUUAUGGGUUUGCAUGUGGCAGAGGAGUCAGUUGCCAUUGAAAGAGUGGAAACUCAUUUUUAAUUGCCUUAAUCCCAUGUCAGAAAUCUCCCCUUCCCUGAAUAUAUGUGAGAGCUGUAUCAGGCAGAGCAGAGUUGGGUCAUGUGGUCAGAGCCCCUCUCUGAGCUGGGGCACAGUGUUAGCAUUCUCCUAGGCAGAGUAGUGCAGUGUCUCCGCGCCAGCUUAACUUCUUAGCACACCCAAAUCAAGAAGGCCAUUAGGAAGGCUCUUGGAACUGAGUAAAACAUGACAAGACUCCCCUUUUGGACCCACUGGGCUUCCCUGAGGGAGAAAGGGCGGGGAAUGGGAUGUUCAGAUUGCCCCAGCCACUUCUGGGGCAAACAUUUACUUUAGAUUAAGUGGCAUGUAAAGGAAAGAGGAGCCCUCUCUGGGCUGGCUGCUAGAGUUGAUAGUUAAAUAUUUAUAAUGUCCAAAUUAGCAUAGUGAAAGCUCAAUUCAUCAAUUUGUUCUGGUCUGUUUGUAAGAAGGGGAGGGGGUAUGAGGCACCCUGCAGGAGAUGCAGCUGUGGGUGGGCAGGGCAAGCGUGUUGCCUCCCUCAGGGAUCCACAGCAGCUCUCUGCUGGCACUGAAAGUUUUUGCCCUGGCUUUCUGCUUUGGCAUGGCUAGGGAAGAGACCAGCUUCCAGGCAAGGCUGUGGGGAUCCCUCCUCUCCCCCAAAACCACCUGCCCCGUGGGCAGCCUGAGGUCACUGGGGAAGCUGCAGAGAGCAGCCUGGCCAGGCAGGGCCAGCCUGGGGCUGCCUGUACAGGGGCUGGGGAGGGUGUGGGCUGCCCUGGAAGGGUUAAGGCUUUUCAGGCUGAAAUCCCCCAACAGAAGGCAGGGUCAGCCUCGGAGCUGAAAUCUAAGUGCUAAUGGCUGAUGCCCUUCACCCCUCCGCUGCCUCCAAAGGCGAGUGGCCUGGAUGAGCUGAGGCCGGAGAGCAUUUAACAUUUGAACUUCUUCUUGUCUGCAAGGCAGCAGGCCGUUGUGCGCGGGGUCGCUGACCCCCAGCCCCGCUCCCCCCAGCCCCUCAGCUGCCUCCCAGCCCUAAUUGAAUGACAGAUGGUCAGCGGCAAGGAGAGGGCAGGAGCAGGGCCCCACACCCCCAGCACUCCUGCCCACGCACCCCCCACGCUGGCUGCCCCCACGGCUGCCUGGCACCUCAGCCCCAUAUCUACGCGCCUGGGGGAGAUGGGGCAGUGGGCAGGGAUGGGCAUGGGGUGCUGCACUGGGGGCACCUGUGGCCAGGGACAGCCCUUGCCAGCCCGACCCCCACACCUCAGAAGUGCUUCCCAUCCCUCUACCUUUCAACAAAGCAUCACUACAUUCACAGAGACCUGACUGGCACAGACCAGCUGAGGCCGCCCGCAGUCCUGGUGGUGGAGAGCUGGGGAAGGCAAGGAGCUGUGCCGAGCUGCCAGGCCUUGGCGGGGACGUGGGCAGCUGCAGAGAGCCUGGGCAGGGGAGGCAGCAUUGUGGCCAGACAAUUCCCCUGCCUGCCUGUGUCCCUAGGGGCUGUGCUCACCCCACCACCAUGCCUCGAGCCAGCAUGCUGCACAUGCCCUGCCUGGGUGGAGGAUGCCACAGGUGACAGGAGGUGCCUUUCUGCAUCCAAAAAGGGGUCUGUAGAAAUAGCUCUUGGGGGGGCCAGAACCUGCUGGUGCCCGCAGCCCUGCCAGCUUCCUUCCAGACAAAGCUAGGCAGGCCAGGAUGGGCCCUGGAGGGCAGGGGCAGUGCCGGCCUGCCGCCGAGCUCAGCCCCCUCUGCAGCCCACUGUCCCUUUAACAGAGAGCCGUGAUUCCCACAAUUACUAGGAUUACAAGGAAAGGGUUAUCGAUUUGCAGCCUGCACUGUGUGAUCAGCGCCCAGGCGGCCCCCCCCGGCCCACCUCUCCUACAGUAAGCACGAAACCAUUUAUAAAUGUUUUAUUUCACUGAUCGCGUCACCCUUGCUGCAUAAUAACAACCCCAGCAGCACGGCGAUAUAUUCUCUCCGCUCCCCCUCUCCCCGCGCCCACAGCCUGCAAAAGGCACCAACGUGAUAUCCAGUAGCCCCUGAUUUGUGUGUAUGUUUUAAUUACUGCCAGAGAAACCUGUACACAAGCAUAAAAAAGGGCGAGGGGAAGGGAGAGCAGGCCCAGACGGCGGAGGCAAUGGCAGCCUAAUGCACCGCGGGCUGACAGCGACUUCCGCUCAGGCACCUUCUCCAGAUCGAACCCUUCGAUUGUAACUGAAACAAUUUGCAUACUGAUUCCUCUCAUAGCCUCCCGAUCCAUAACCAGCCAGGCAGCUAUUCAAAUGCAAGUAGCAUCCCUAAAUGCAAGGCUAGACUGACCAAAAUGCGCUGUCCAACAAGCAGAAGGAGAAGAAAAAAACCCUUGAUUAUUAUUUCUAUUUUUGUUCCUUUUAACCUUUAAAAGAUUUAGCUGGAAGCUGUUUGUUUAUGACUGGGGAUGUAAGGCAGAGAAUUGAUCCUGGACUGGACUUAAAGAUGGAGCAAAAUGGGGCGCUGGAGAGAUUUUUUUUGGUUGUGGUUUUGUUUUUUUUUUCUUUUUCCUAUUUUUGUUUUUAACUAAGCCACAAACUGAGGCUCACUGGGGGGGAAAGAGGGUCUGUCCUCUCUCCCAUCCCCUUCCUCCACCAAAACCAUCUCAGCUCCUGCAGACCCAGGGAAUACACAAAUUUGCUGCCUGAGCCUCUGCCUCUGGUGCAUGUUGGGCUGAUGAAGAACGUGUAAUUCUGGCUGUAAAUUCUUGCGUUUAAGUUGGUCCAAUAAAAGAUCUCUCCUACA
Molecule: long non-coding RNA, 3546 nt
Organism: Apus apus (common swift)
Lineage: Eukaryota; Metazoa; Chordata; Aves; Apodiformes; Apodidae
Exons: 3
Source: RefSeq, a predicted model, not a curated record